GGAAGGAUCAUUACUGAGUAACGUGGUCUUUUUUCAUGACCCGCUACCCGCCCUUUGUCAUAUGUUGGACGAGGUCGUCUUUAGGGGCGGCCUCCGACCCCACUUCCCGGGAGGCGUUGCGCCUCAUCAAAGUCUAGGCCUUGAUGAGGAUGGGACCGCCCGGGGUCUUUUUCAAACCCUUUGUGAGAAAUCUGAAGUCUGAAGCGAAAGCUUAAAAAUAAAUUGAAGCAAAACUUUCAACAACGGAUCUCUUGGCUCUGGCAACGAUGAAGAACGCAGCGAAACGCGAAAGGUAAUGCGAAUUGCAGAAUCAGUGAGUCAUCGAAUCUUUGAACGCACAUUGCGCCCUCUGGUAUUCCGGAGGGCACGCCUGUUCGAGCGCCAUUACACCCUCCAAGCUCUGCUUGAUGUUGGACGCUGUGUUUUCUCUUUUUGGGGGACACACGUCUGGAACUUGUAGGCGUCCGUCACUGUCGAGACACCGCGAGCGUAGCAAGACUUUUAGUCAUUUUCGCUCUGUUGGAACUCCAGCGGACUGCCCUUAUGAUUUUAGGGGGGUUAACCCUCUAAAUUCAAAAUCUCAAGAGUUUGGCCUCGGAUCAGGCGGGGAUACCCGCUGAACUUAAGCAUAUCAAUAAGCGGAGGAAAAGAAACCAACAGGGAUUGCCCCAGUAACGGCGAGUGAAGCGGCAACAGCUCAAAUUUGAAAUCUGGCGUCUUAGGCGUCCGAGUUGUAAUUUGCAGAGGGAGUCUCGGAUUUAGGAUCGGCCCAAGUGCCUUGGAACAGGAUACCAAAGAGGGUGAGAGUCCCGUAUCCGGCUGAUACCGACGUCCGUGUGAGACCCCUUCGACGAGUCGAGUUGUUUGGGAAUGCAGCUCUAAAUGGGUGGUAAAUUCCAUCUAAAGCUAAAUACUGGCCAGAGACCGAUAGCGCACAAGUAGAGUGAUCGAAAGAUGAAAAGCACUUUGAAAAGAGAGUCAAACAGUACGUGAAAUUGUUGAAAGGGAAGCGUAUGUGGGCAGACUUGACCGCGGGAUUCAGCUCGUCUUCUGGCGGGUGUACUUUCUCGUGGGCAGGCCAGCAUCGGUUUCGGGGGUAAGACAAAGGCGACAGGAAUGUGGCUCCCUUCGGGGCGUGUUAUAGCCUGUCGUGCAAUGUUACCACCUGGGACCGAGGACCGCGUUUUUACGAGGAUGCUGGCGUAAUGGCCUCAUACGGCCCGUCUUGAAACACGGACCAAGGAGUCUAACAUCUAUGCGAGUGUUUGGGUGUCAAGCCCGGGCGCGUAAUGAAAGUGAACGGAGGUGGGAGUCUUCGGACGCACCAUCGACCGAUCCCGAUGUCUUCGGAGGGAUUUGAGUACGAGCAUAGCUGUUGGGACCCGAAAGAUGGUGAACUAUGCGUGAAUAGGGUGAAGCCAGAGGAAACUCUGGUGGAGGCUCGCAGCGGUUCUGACGUGCAAAUCGAUCGUCAAAUUUGCGUAUAGGGGCGAAAGACUAAUCGAACCAUCUAGUAGCUGGUUCCUGC
Molecule: unclassified non-coding RNA, 1528 nt
Filed under: uncultured fungus
Lineage: Eukaryota; Fungi
Description: sequence contains 18S rRNA gene, ITS1, 5.8S rRNA gene, ITS2, 28S rRNA gene
Rfam family: Eukaryotic large subunit ribosomal RNA (bases 590-1528)
Source: RNAcentral